Molecule: ribosomal RNA, 461 nt
Filed under: Cladophora sp. JC1
Lineage: Eukaryota; Viridiplantae; Chlorophyta; Ulvophyceae; Cladophorales; Cladophoraceae
Also listed under: 6 other names
Description: LSU rRNA
Rfam family: Eukaryotic large subunit ribosomal RNA
Source: RNAcentral
UCCCUUAGUAACGGCGAGCGAAAAGGGAUGAGCCCAGCAUGUAAAUCUCCGGUUUCCGGCGAAUUGUAGUCUGGAGUAGCAACUCCUGGUGCCGUGCCGGCCCAAGCAUCUUGGAAUAGAUCGCCUCAGAGGGUGAGAGCCCCGUAGGUCGGUACGAGCUCCUACACGGAGUGCUCACGCAGAGUCGGGUUGUUUGGGAAUGCAGCCCCAAUUGGGUGGUAAACCCCAUCUAAGGCUAAAUACCUGUGGGAGACCGAUAGCAAAAAAGUACCUCGAGGGAACGAUGAAAAGACCGCUGGCAAGCGAGUGAAAGAGUGCAUGAAAUUGUAUAGUGGGAAGGGAUGGCCUGGCGUAUUGCCCGCGGGUAUACACUGCUCUUUGAGCUCUUGAAUACACCGUGGGCUGGCUGGUGCCGACACCUGCGCUUGCAAAUCCCCAAACUAAGGUGUUUGGCUCUUCAA